RNAcentral lists this ribosomal RNA (303 nucleotides) under uncultured Latescibacterota bacterium. RNAcentral's name for it is "bacterial SSU rRNA". It matches the Rfam family "Bacterial small subunit ribosomal RNA", at positions 1080 to 1382 of the family's 1533-position model. Lineage: Bacteria; Pseudomonadati; Candidatus Latescibacterota. The record is from RNAcentral.
UUAAGUCCCGCAACGAGCGCAACCCUUAUCCCUAGUUGCCAUCAGGUAAAGCUGGGAACUCUGGGGAGACUGCCGGUGAUAAACCGGAGGAAGGCGGGGAUGACGUCAAGUCCUCAUGGCCCUUACAUCCCGGGCUACACACGUGCUACAAUGGCAGGUACAGAGGGCUGCGAAGCCGCGAGGUGGAGCGAAUCCCAGAAAACCUGUCUCAGUCCGGAUUGAAGUCUGCAACUCGACUUCAUGAAGGCGGAAUCGCUAGUAACCGCGAAUCAGCAGGUCGCGGUGAAUACGUUCCCGGGCCUU